CACUAAAAAGCUUAAAGUAAGUGUUGAUCUUUUAAAUCAACUAUGAUAAAUCCGCCUAUCUUUAGUGG
RNAcentral lists this transfer RNA (68 nucleotides) under Bemisia tabaci. RNAcentral's name for it is "tRNA-Lys". The record is from RNAcentral. Lineage: Eukaryota; Metazoa; Arthropoda; Insecta; Hemiptera; Aleyrodidae.